UGAGGAAUAUUGGUCAAUGGGCGAGAGCCUGAACCAGCCAAGUCGCGUGAGGGAAGAAUGGUCCAUGGCCUGUAAACCUCUUUUGUCAAGGAAGAAUAGACGGCACGCGUGCUGUUUUGCCAGUACUUGACGAAUAAGCACCGGCUAACUACGUGCCAGCAGCCGCGGUAAUACGUAGGGUGCAAGCGUUAUCCGGAAUUAUUGGGCGUAAAGGGCUCGUAGGCGGUUCGUCGCGUCCGGUGUGAAAGUCCAUCGCUUAACGGUGGAUCCGCGCCGGGUACGGGCGGGCUUGAGUGCGGUAGGGGAGACUGGAAUUCCCGGUGUAACGGUGGAAUGUGUAGAUAUCGGGAAGAACACCAAUGGCGAAGGCAGGUCUCUGGGCCGUUACUGACGCUGAGGAGCGAAAGCGUGGGGAGCGAACAGGAUUAGAUACCCUGGUAGUCCACGCCGUAAACGGUGGAUGCUGGAUGUGGGGCCCGUUCCACGGGUUCCGUGUCGGAGCUAACGCGUUAAGCAUCCCGCCUGGGGAGUACGGCCGCAAGGCUAAAACUCAAAGAAAUUGACGGGGGCCCGCACAAGCGGCGGAGCAUGCGGAUUAAUUCGAUGCAACGCGAAGAACCUUACCUGGGCUUGACAUGUUCCCGACGGUCGUAGAGAUACGGCUUCCCUUCGGGGCGGGUUCACAGGUGGUGCAUGGUCGUCGUCAGCUCGUGUCGUGAGAUGUUGGGUUAAGUCCCGCAACGAGCGCAACCCUCGCCCCGUGUUGCCAGCGGAUUAUGCCGGGAACUCACGGGGGACCGCCGGGGUUAACUCGGAGGAAGGUGGGGAUGACGUCAGAUCAUCAUGCCCCUUACGUCCAGGGCUUCACGCAUGCUACAAUGGCCGGUACAACGGGAUGCGACGCGGCGACGCGGAGCGGAUCCCUGAAAACCGGUCUCAGUUCGGAUCGCAGUCUGCAACUCGACUGCGUGAAGGCGGAGUCGCUAGUAAUCGCGAAUCAGCAACGUCGCGGUGAAUGCGUUCCC
RNAcentral lists this ribosomal RNA (1025 nucleotides) under uncultured bacterium. Its description in RNAcentral is "bacterial SSU rRNA". It matches the Rfam family "Bacterial small subunit ribosomal RNA", at positions 355 to 1375 of the family's 1533-position model. The record is from RNAcentral.